UGAAAGGUACCGAGCUUCAUCACAAGGAGU
Molecule: non-coding RNA, 30 nt
Filed under: Mus musculus (house mouse)
Lineage: Eukaryota; Metazoa; Chordata; Mammalia; Rodentia; Muridae
Source: RNAcentral